RNAcentral lists this non-coding RNA (48 nucleotides) under Schistosoma margrebowiei. Lineage: Eukaryota; Metazoa; Platyhelminthes; Trematoda; Strigeidida; Schistosomatidae. The record is from RNAcentral.
UUCCAGCUGAUGAGUCCUAAAUAGAACGAAAUGCGCAUCUAACUGGAU